CCUACGGGAGGCAGCAGUGAGGAAUAUUGGUCCAUGGACGCAAGUCUGAACCAGCCAUGCCGCGUGCAGGAAGAAGGCUCUAUGAGUUGUAAACUGCUUUUGUACGAGGGUAAACGCAGAUACGCGUAUCUGGCUGAAAGUAUCGUACGAAUAAGGAUCUGCUAACUACGUGCAAGCAGCCGCGGUAAUACGGAGUCUUCAAGCGUUAUCCGGAUUUAUUGGGUUGAACGGGUGCGUAGGCGGUCGGAUAAGUUAGAGGUGAAAUCCCGAGGCUCAACUUCGGAAUUGCCUGUGAUACUGUUCGGCGAGAGAGUAGUUGCGGUAGGCGGAAUGUAUGGUGGAGCGGUGAAAUGCUUAGAGAUCAUACAGAACACCGAUUGCGAAGGCAGCUUACCAAGCUACUUCUGACGUUGAGGCACGAAAGCGUGGGGAGCAAACAGGAUUAGAUACCCUUGUAGUC
This 460-nucleotide ribosomal RNA is filed under the name uncultured bacterium. RNAcentral describes it as "partial 16S ribosomal RNA". It matches the Rfam family "Bacterial small subunit ribosomal RNA", at positions 338 to 795 of the family's 1533-position model. The record is from RNAcentral.